RNAcentral lists this transfer RNA (65 nucleotides) under Lamproptera meges. RNAcentral's name for it is "tRNA-Trp". Lineage: Eukaryota; Metazoa; Arthropoda; Insecta; Lepidoptera; Papilionidae. The record is from RNAcentral.
AAGGUUUUAAGUUAAUUAAACUAAUAAUCUUCAAAAUUAUAAAUAAAGAAAAUCUUUAAGCCUUA